Molecule: long non-coding RNA, 693 nt
Organism: Passer domesticus (house sparrow)
Lineage: Eukaryota; Metazoa; Chordata; Aves; Passeriformes; Passeridae
Exons: 2
Source: RefSeq, a predicted model, not a curated record
UUCAACCCUUGUUCACCAUAUUUGAUUACUCCCUAGAAUGUUCUUCCCUAUACUGAUCCCCACUGGUUCCAGUCUGCCGCAGUGUCCCACCCCUGUUACCCUACUGGUUCCAAUGUUUGGCUGCCCCCUCCCCUGCACCACUUUCACCUGGUCCCGUUGUCCUUGAUCCUCAGACUGACCCCUUUUCCCCCAUAUAAAAUCCUGUGCCCUCAGCCCAAGUUUGUCUUUGUCCCUGGACCCCCUCUGAAGCAAUAAACAGCUUUCAGAUGUCCAGAGAAAAGUCCAGCCUCCACCUCUUUCAUUGUAGCAAGUGUGCUCCGGGCCCCAGAGCGCUGGUCGCUCUCAGAAGAGCCCAUUGAAGCCCACCACUUCAGCUCAUUAAAGACAGAGCAAUCACAGAAUUGGUCAGGUUGGAUGAGACCACAGUGGGUCAUCUGGUCCAACAUUCCUGAUCAAGGAGGGUCUCACCUGGCAUAGGACUGCAUCCAGAUACAGAUCUUCCCCAUAAAGAUCAGAACAUAAAGCUGGCAUGCAUUCCAUCAGCCUUAACACAAUGUAUCUUUUUUUCUACUUUAUUUCUUUAAAAUUGAGACCAAAACCAGUAGAUAACCAGUAACCAGCUUAAGUGUUAACAGAAAAACUGUAAAGUUCAGUCCUACAACACUUAAUAAUGAGCUUAAUCAUCAGCCCUAC